UCUGGGGGAGAAACGCACACACACACACACACACACACACACACACACACACACACACACACACACACACACACACACACACACACACACACACACACACACACACACACACACACACACACACACACAGCGCGGUUCAGACCCACGCAGCACAGCGGCGGACACGCUUCACUGGGGCAGAACUGAGACGGAGAACACAGCAGGAGCACGAGGGGACUGAGGCUAUUCUGUCUCCCUGAGGGGGCCGCAUCGGUUAGUAGGGGCAUGGGAACUAUGGCGGCGGCCAUCUUAAAAACAAACGUUAUGGGUUUGAGCUCUCUGAUGCCCUCAAUAUAAAUCUGGGUUUCAGAUUAAUACAACUCUCAAAUGUAUUAUGUGUCCGAUUAUUUUGUGAGUGAUGCCCUCAUAUAAACAGAUCUUAUUUCUUGGGUCAGAGAUGAUCUUCCAUUUUGCAUGAAAUAUAAAUAAUAUACUCAAAGUUGGACUGAUAAGACGAAUCAAGAUGGUUGACUGCAAGGCUGUAGUGGACUUUCUGAACGUGGAUGUCACACACACACACACACACACACACACACACACACACACACACACACACACACACACACACACACACACACACACACA
Long non-coding RNA from Gadus macrocephalus (Pacific cod), 624 nucleotides. RefSeq lists it as uncharacterized. Lineage: Eukaryota; Metazoa; Chordata; Actinopteri; Gadiformes; Gadidae. The transcript has 2 exons. The record is from RefSeq and is a predicted model, not a curated record.